CAAGAGUGGAUAAUGAUUCCAUUUACUUGAUUAAAAAACGGAAAAGAAGAACACAAUAUCAAGUUCUCUUUGAAAGGAAGAUUCCAGGGGUUGAAAAAGUAAUUUAUACAAUAAAUGCGAAAUCUAUUAGGAAAGAAGCCUUGAUUCUAGUGUAAAAAUUUUGAGGGCGGAGAGGGAGAGAGAGAGAGUAUUGAAGCACGGAAUAUGAGAUGAAGUGCUAAGACAACAACACAGAACUACUUUACACUUUACGCUUUAAAAGGAAAAAAUGGGAAGGGGGGUGGGGGAAAGCAAGAAACUGGCAGUUUUUUGGCAACUCUCUGGAUCAGUAUAGUAAACUUAGUUUCAAAGUAAAUCAAAAGUGAAAAACAAGAUGGUUGAUUCUUCUGAAUCCAUAAGUCAGCUGUUAAUAUUAAAGUACAGAUGCUAGCAGGAAAAAAGAUUGAGUGACAUUUGCAUACCAUGUCAAGAAAGAACCAAAAGAAGGCAACGCAUUACCUAGUUCCAGAAAGGCAUGCACGCACA
Molecule: unclassified non-coding RNA, 525 nt
Filed under: Hevea brasiliensis (rubber tree)
Lineage: Eukaryota; Viridiplantae; Streptophyta; Magnoliopsida; Malpighiales; Euphorbiaceae
Source: RNAcentral